GGAAGUAAAAGUCGUAACAAGGUUUCCGUAGGUGAACCUGCGGAAGGAUCAUUACUAGAGCAAAGGAUAGGCAGCGCCCCACCGAAGCUUGCUUCGUGGGGUGUCGAGCCGUCGACCCUCUCGGAGAAGGUCGGUCCUGAACUCCACCCUUGAAUAAAUUACCUUUGUUGCUUUGCGGGCCGCCUCGCGCCAGCGGCUUCGGCUGUUGAGUGCCCGCCAGAGGACCAUGUUUUAGUGAUGUCUGAGUACUACAACUCUUAUAAUAGUUAAAACUUUCAACAACGGAUCUCUUGGUUCUGGCAUCGAUGAAGAACGCAGCGAAAUGCGAUAAGUAAUGUGAAUUGCAGAAUUCAGUGAAUCAUCGAAUCUUUGAACGCACAUUGCGCCCUCUGGUAUUCCGGGGGGCAUGCCUGUUCGAGCGUCAUUAUAACCACUCAAGCUCUCGCUUGGUAUUGGGGUUCGCGGUUCCGCNGCCCCUAAAAUCAGUGGCGGUGCCUGUCGGCUCUACGCGUAGUAAUACUCCUCGCGUCUGGGUCCGGUAGGUCUACUUGCCAGCAACCCCCAAUUUUUACAGGUUGACCUCGGAUCAGGUAGGGAUACCCGCUGAACUUAAGCAUAUCAAUAAGCGGAGGA
Molecule: ribosomal RNA, 633 nt
Filed under: Phialophora sp. RR 90-121
Lineage: Eukaryota; Fungi; Ascomycota; Eurotiomycetes; Chaetothyriales; Herpotrichiellaceae
Description: eukaryotic LSU rRNA
Rfam family: 5.8S ribosomal RNA (bases 271-424)
Source: RNAcentral